RNAcentral lists this ribosomal RNA (433 nucleotides) under uncultured bacterium. RNAcentral describes it as "partial 16S ribosomal RNA". It matches the Rfam family "Bacterial small subunit ribosomal RNA", at positions 29 to 507 of the family's 1533-position model. The record is from RNAcentral.
AACGAACGCUGGCGGCAUGCCUAACACAUGCAAGUCGAACGAGACCUUCGGGUCUAGUGGCGUACGGGUGCGUAACGCGUGGGAACCUGCCCUUAGGUUCGGAAUAACUCCCCGAAAGGGGUGCUAAUACCGGAUAAUGUCUUCGGACCAAAGAUUUAUCGCCUUUGGAUGGGCCCGCGUUGGAUUAGCUAGUUGGUAGGGUAAGAGCCUACCAAGGCGACGAUCCAUAGCUGGUCUGAGAGGAUGAUCAGCCACACUGGGACUGAGACACGGCCCAGACUCCUACGGGAGGCAGCAGUGGGGAAUAUUGGACAAUGGGCGAAAGCCUGAUCCAGCAAUGCCGCGUGAGUGAUGAAGGCCUUAGGGUUGUAAAGCUCUUUUACCCGGGAUGAUAAUGACAGUACCGGGAGAAUAAGCUCCGGCUAACUCCGUG